Small nucleolar RNA from Mustela erminea (ermine), 89 nucleotides. RefSeq annotates it as small nucleolar RNA SNORD103/SNORD85. Lineage: Eukaryota; Metazoa; Chordata; Mammalia; Carnivora; Mustelidae. The transcript has a single exon. The record is from RefSeq and is a predicted model, not a curated record.
UUUGGCGAUGAUGAGCCGCUUGCCCUCACUGAGAACAAAGUUCGGUAAUGAUUACAAUUUUUUAUAAUCUAUGAUUGCAAUUUUCCACA